GCAGUCGAACGGUGAUAGCAAUAUCAUAGUGGCGCACGGGUGCGUAACACGUAUGCAACCUACCUAUUAUUGGGGGAUAGCCUUUGGAAACGGAGAUUAAUACCGCAUAAUACGAUUGACUGGCAUCGGUUGAUUGUUAAAGCUUUGGCGAUAAUAGAUGGGCAUGCGUCCAAUUAGUUAGUUGGUUAGGUAACGGCUGACCAAGACGAUGAUUGGUAGGGGAUCUGAGAGGAUAAUCCCCCACACUGGCACUGAGAUACGGGCCAGACUCCUACGGGAGGCAGCAGUAGGGAAUAUUGGGCAAUGGGCGGAAGCCUGACCCAGCCAUGCCGCGUGCAGGAAGAAGGCGUUAUGCGUUGUAAACUGCUUUUUUAUAGGAAGAAGGAUCCCUUGCGAGGGAAGGUGACGGUACUAUAAGAAUAAGCACCGGCUAACUCCGUGCCAGCAGCCGCGGUAAUACGGAGGGUGCAAGCGUUGUCCGGAUUUAUUGGGUUUAAAGGGUGCGUAGGCGGUUUAUUAAGUCAGUGGUGAAAGACGGUCGCUCAACGAUUGCAGUGCCAUUGAUACUGGUAGACUUGAGUGAGAUUGAGGUAGCUGGAAUGGAUAGUGUAGCGGUGAAAUGCAUAGAUAUUAUCCAGAACACCGAUUGCGAAGGCAGGUUACUAAGUCUUAACUGACGCUGAGGCACGAAAGUGUG
This 697-nucleotide ribosomal RNA is filed under the name uncultured bacterium. RNAcentral's name for it is "bacterial SSU rRNA". It matches the Rfam family "Bacterial small subunit ribosomal RNA", at positions 57 to 763 of the family's 1533-position model. The record is from RNAcentral.